RNAcentral lists this ribosomal RNA (468 nucleotides) under uncultured bacterium. Its description in RNAcentral is "partial 16S ribosomal RNA". It matches the Rfam family "Bacterial small subunit ribosomal RNA", at positions 28 to 507 of the family's 1533-position model. The record is from RNAcentral.
GACGAACGCUGGCGGCGGGCUUAACACAUGCAAGUCGAACGGAAAGGCCCUGCUUUUGUGGGGUGCUCGAUUGGCGAACGGGUGAGUAACACGUGAGUAACCUGCCCUUGACCUUGGGAUAACUUCAGGAAACUGGGGCUAAUACCGGAUAGGAGCUCCUGCUGCAUGGUGGGGGUUGGAAAGUUUCGGCGGGUGGGGUUGGACGCGUGGCUUAUCAGCUUGUUGGUGGGGUAGUGGCUUACCAAGGCUUUGCCGGGUAGCCGGCCUGAGAGGGUGACCGGCCCAGUUGGGACUGGGAUGCGGCCCAGACUAAUCCGGGACGCAGGGGUGGGGAAUAUUGCACAGUGGGAGGAAGCCUGAUGCAGCAACGCCGCGUGCGGGAUGACGGCCUUCGGGUUGUAAUCCGCUUUCGCCUGUGACGAAGAGUGAGUGACGGUAAUGGGUAAAGAAGCACCGGCUAACUACGUG